UACGGGGGGAGCAAGCGUUGUUCGGAUUUACUGGGCGUAAAGGGCGCGUAGGCGGCCACUGCAAGUCGGUUGUGAAAUCUCCGGGCUUAACCCGGAAAGGUCAAUCGAUACUGCAGGGCUAGAGUGCGGAAGGGGCAACUGGAAUUCUCGGUGUAGCGGUGAAAUGCGUAGAUAUCGAGAGGAACACCUGCGGCGAAGGCGGGUUGCUGGGCCGACACUGACGCUGAGGAGCGAAAGCGUGGGGAGCGAACAGG
RNAcentral lists this ribosomal RNA (254 nucleotides) under uncultured bacterium. RNAcentral describes it as "partial 16S ribosomal RNA". It matches the Rfam family "Bacterial small subunit ribosomal RNA", at positions 524 to 776 of the family's 1533-position model. The record is from RNAcentral.